CAUUACAUAUUUUCUUUAAUAUUUAUUUAAUAUUGUACCUUUAUUCCCAUUUAUUGGGGAAAAUCAAAAAAUGAUCUCUACGUAUCUCCCGUCAGACUUCCUGUCAGAAAAAGUGCCAUCAUUGUAAAUCUGAGCAAAAUUUCUGGUAGAAAAGUUGUUUGCAAAAAAGAUAAUAAUACAAAUUGUGAAACCAAUAAUCAACUAAAUAUAUUUUUAAAUACA
This is a non-coding RNA of Cinara cedri, 222 nucleotides long. Lineage: Eukaryota; Metazoa; Arthropoda; Insecta; Hemiptera; Aphididae. The record is from the annotation of a GenBank genome assembly.